This is a long non-coding RNA of Epinephelus fuscoguttatus (brown-marbled grouper), 500 nucleotides long. RefSeq lists it as uncharacterized. Lineage: Eukaryota; Metazoa; Chordata; Actinopteri; Perciformes; Serranidae. The record is from RefSeq and is a predicted model, not a curated record. The transcript has 4 exons.
UGGAUGUCGGAGUUAUGGCACACAAGAUUUUCCCUGAUUGCUCAACAAAUCACAAUAAAAAGGAAGCUCAGGGAGCACAACUGAGGACUCAGCACUGCAGUGGGACAGUUUACCAGAGAUCAGUGAACAGACACGUGAGAACAUGAAGACUGUGAUUCUUGCUCUUGCGGUGUUGUUGGUUGUCAGCCAGGGUGAAGCCCUGACGUGUUGGUGUGGAGGUAUAAGGUCAUGUUUAGGCCGUACAGAGACCUGCUCCACUUCAGAGGACGUCUGUGCCAGUGUGUCCUUUGAUCAGUUCCCAAGGAACAACUUCCAUGGUUGUUACAGCGAAGAUGCCUGCAGGCAGCUGAAUCAUCCUGGUAUAGUAUCUUGCAGGUACUGCAAGACCGACAUGUGCCAGUGAUUAAUGAACGUCAUGCAACAGAUAUUCCAGUCAUAAUAAUAAUGAUGUGUUGUGCAUUUUUGCACGAUCAUAAUAAAAAUCAGUCUGUUGCAACUUU